This 313-nucleotide small RNA is filed under the name Histoplasma capsulatum var. duboisii H88. RNAcentral's name for it is "Histoplasma capsulatum H88 hypothetical RNA". The record is from RNAcentral. Lineage: Eukaryota; Fungi; Ascomycota; Eurotiomycetes; Onygenales; Ajellomycetaceae.
AAGGCAGGGUUCAGGGUUCAAUGUCCCGUCCGAUCGUAAUAGUCGCUCGGUUACUCGUGGCGUUUGACUCGACAAGAAUAUUUACGAACGGCCAUAUAUUGGCUCAGAGACGAUAUGGAUGGGAUUCUCGGGGACAAGAAAAAUGGAAAUUUCUUUUCCACAAAGUCAACAAGUGUUGGAUUCGGAGUCCUGCACGCGCAGUUGAGACGGAAGAGGCAGGGCCACGAUGCUGGGGCAGGGGAUUUAACCAAAACAGCACACUAAGAGGGUCUGGAGUCUCUAGACAGCCCAGAGCCGCACCAUUUGGCGGCGG